RNAcentral lists this transfer RNA (72 nucleotides) under Methanobacteriota archaeon. RNAcentral describes it as "Euryarchaeota archaeon tRNA-Thr". It matches the Rfam family "tRNA". Rfam says of the family: Transfer RNA (tRNA) molecules are approximately 80 nucleotides in length. Lineage: Archaea; Methanobacteriati; Methanobacteriota. RNAcentral also lists the same sequence under 1 other name. The record is from RNAcentral.
GCCACCGUAGCUCAGCGGUAGAGCGGCGGUUUCGUAAACCGCAGGCCGGGGGUUCGACCCCCUCCGGUGGCU